Molecule: transfer RNA, 85 nt
Organism: Felis catus (domestic cat)
Lineage: Eukaryota; Metazoa; Chordata; Mammalia; Carnivora; Felidae
Rfam family: tRNA
About the family: Transfer RNA (tRNA) molecules are approximately 80 nucleotides in length. Their secondary structure includes four short double-helical elements and three loops (D, anti-codon, and T loops).
Source: Rfam
GCCUGAGUGGCUCAGCUGGUUAAGUGUCUGACUUCAGCUCAGGUCAUGAUCCCCCAGUUUGUGGGUUUGAGCCCCAUGUCGGGCU